Molecule: ribosomal RNA, 421 nt
Filed under: uncultured bacterium
Lineage: Bacteria
Description: partial 16S ribosomal RNA
Rfam family: Bacterial small subunit ribosomal RNA
Source: RNAcentral
AAUAUUGGACAAUGGGGGCAACCCUGAUCCAGCCAUGCCGCGUGUGUGAAGAAGGUUUUCGGAUCGUAAAGCUCUGUUGUGAGGGAAGGACAAGUACAGGAGUAACUGUCUGUACCUUGACGGUACCUCAUUAGAAAGCCACGGCUAACUACGUGCCAGCAGCCGCGGUAAUACGUAGGUGGCAAGCGUUGUCCGGAAUUAUUGGGCGUAAAGCGCGCGCAGGCGGCCUUUUAAGUCUGAUGUGAAAGCCCACGGCUUAACCGUGGAAGGUCAUUGGAAACUGAAAGGCUUGAGGACAGAAGAGAAAAGCGGAAUUCCACGUGUAGCGGUGAAAUGCGUAGAGAUGUGGAGGAACACCAGUGGCGAAGGCGGCUUUUUGGUCUGUAACUGACGCUGAGGCGCGAAAGCGUGGGGAGCAAAC